This is a non-coding RNA of Salmo salar (Atlantic salmon), 107 nucleotides long. The record is from Rfam. NCBI's taxonomy places the organism in Eukaryota, Metazoa, Chordata, Actinopteri, Salmoniformes, Salmonidae.
CCUUCGUGGUUGCACUCAAACCACCUUCGGGGUGUAAACAGCAGGACAUAAGAGUCUCUUGAGGUAGCCAAAUGCCUUGUCAUCUAAAUAGUGACACGCAUGAAUGG